CAAUAGCGUAUAUUUAAGUUGCUGCAGUUAAAAAGCUCGUAGUUGGAUUUCGGGUGGGAAUGGCCGGUCCGCCGUUUCGGUGUGCACUUGCUACGCCCACCUUGCUGCCGGGGACGUGCUCUUGAGUUCACGCUCGGGACACGGAGUCGGCGAGGUUACUUUGAGUAAAUUAGAGUGUUCAAAGCAGGCCUACGCUCUGAAUACAUUAGCAUGGAAUAACACGAUAGGACUCUGGCCUAUCUUGUUGGUCUGUAGGACCGGAGUAAUGAUUAAGAGGGACAGUUGGGGGCAUUCGUAUUUCAUUGUCAGAGGUGAAAUUCUUGGAUUUAUGAAAGACGAACUACUGCGAAAGCAUUUGCCAAGGAUGUUUUCAUUAA
Molecule: ribosomal RNA, 377 nt
Filed under: uncultured eukaryote
Lineage: Eukaryota
Description: partial 18S ribosomal RNA
Rfam family: Eukaryotic small subunit ribosomal RNA
Source: RNAcentral